GAAGGUAUAGCUCAGUCGUAGAGUGUGGGCUUAGCAUUCACAACAUCUUGGGUUCAAUCCCCAGUACCUCCA
Molecule: transfer RNA, 72 nt
Filed under: Camelus ferus (Wild Bactrian camel)
Lineage: Eukaryota; Metazoa; Chordata; Mammalia; Artiodactyla; Camelidae
Rfam family: tRNA
About the family: Transfer RNA (tRNA) molecules are approximately 80 nucleotides in length. Their secondary structure includes four short double-helical elements and three loops (D, anti-codon, and T loops).
Source: Rfam by way of RNAcentral